UCACAGGACACUGAAUUUAAAAAAAAAGUUUAAAAAUGAGGGAGGGUGAAAAAGUCGAAAUGAGCAGACCCUGCUCAGUUGUCGGCUAUGGGUGAGUGGUGGAAUAUUGCGUUUGGGAACGGGUUGCGUUGGG
Long non-coding RNA from Amblyraja radiata (thorny skate), 133 nucleotides. RefSeq lists it as uncharacterized. The record is from RefSeq and is a predicted model, not a curated record. The transcript has 4 exons. NCBI's taxonomy places the organism in Eukaryota, Metazoa, Chordata, Chondrichthyes, Rajiformes, Rajidae.